This is a non-coding RNA of Cinara cedri, 307 nucleotides long. Lineage: Eukaryota; Metazoa; Arthropoda; Insecta; Hemiptera; Aphididae. The record is from the annotation of a GenBank genome assembly.
CCCGGCGCGCGAUCGCUCCGCCGAUAUUCACGGGAUUAUAAUCAAAAAUUCCAAACUUGUAAUACCCAAUUUCGUUUCGUUUCGUUUUUUUUUUUUUUUUCGCCUCCCCGAAUCGUUUCAAUGGAAAUCUCUUCAGAUCGCGUCGUCCCGCCCCGGGCUCGGUAUACGCUGCAGCGGCGCGCGCAUAAAUAAUAAUAAUAAUAAUAAUAACAUUAUAAUACGUACCCGGGCGACAGUACAAUGAACGCGUCGUGUCCGUCUUCGUGCUUUUAUUCGUGUGCGCGGAUACUCGCGCGCAUUGUCGCAC